UUACAAAAAGCACUUUGAUUCUAAUUAUUUAAAAAUGAAGCCGAUUUUUAUAUUUUCUGUAAUAUUUUGCACAGCAAUGUCAAACCUGGAUUUAGUGGUCGUCCAUUUAAAGUUUCCGAGAAUUAACUCCAUGCGGUGGGGAUAAGGGAGAGGCGCUGGGAGGAUUUGCGCUGCUCACGCAAGCAUCACGAAACAGAGAGCGAAACAAGAAAUAUAGAGCACAGGAGAGAGACAAAAUAGUUCCGCGACUCUGGAUUUAAUGUCACGCUCAGUCCCAAAAUUGACAUUAAGUGAUCAAUCACUCAGUCGAAAAUAUAACCAGUCUUAUAAUUACCUAUUGCACUAUGCUUUUUUUAUGUUUAAAAACCCGCUGAAAGAGAGGUUUAUAUAAUACACGGUUCAUCCUCGUUGCUCAAGCAUCAUUACUGCCGGACGUCUCAACUUCAAUGUGUAUGCGCAAUUGAGAUUUUUUCUUUUACUAAGCCAGAUGAGAGGAAAGCUGCAGAAAAUCACCUCCCGAGUUUAGCCGGCUUUCCGAAAUUUGAGUACACAACCCGAUCGUACGUCGUAGACGGUCUCCCAUUCAGGUGCUAGGGACGCUCGAAAUGGCUUGACAUCUGGGCUCUUCUAGAGUCGAGAUAAUAUAUUUCCAUAAAAAUUUGUACGCGCCGAUAUUUGAGAUUUUUUUCCAAACUUGAAUAAAAAUGUUUUGAGUUGCACAAUAAUUUAUUCUGCAUCAUAAGAGGGCACCCAUGCGACGCCGACAAUGCGUGUACAAAUGAAUGUUAUUAAAGUAAAAAUGAAUAUCGUGGUAUCUAAUGGAACUUCAUUUCAAAAGAAAAUAAUUGCAAGUAAAGCAAUUGAUCGCGCGCUGAGCUCGCGUAUGAGCUUCUAUUACUUUUUUUUGAAGGUCGAAGGUUUAUGUAGUUUGAACACCCGCUGGUGGAAAAUUUACAACUUCCUAGGACCAACAUAAGCUGUUUUAGGAAACGUUGCAUUUUUAACUAAACAAUAUUAGUUUU
Belonocnema kinseyi is the source of this 1022-nucleotide long non-coding RNA. RefSeq lists it as uncharacterized. The record is from RefSeq and is a predicted model, not a curated record. NCBI's taxonomy places the organism in Eukaryota, Metazoa, Arthropoda, Insecta, Hymenoptera, Cynipidae. The transcript has 3 exons.